RNAcentral lists this ribosomal RNA (440 nucleotides) under uncultured bacterium. RNAcentral describes it as "partial 16S ribosomal RNA". It matches the Rfam family "Bacterial small subunit ribosomal RNA", at positions 338 to 795 of the family's 1533-position model. The record is from RNAcentral.
CCUACGGGAGGCAGCAGUGGGGAAUAUUGCACAAUGGGGGGAACCCUGAUGCAGCAACGCCGCGUGGGUGAAGAAGGACUUCGGUUUGUAAAGCCCUGUCAGCAGGGAAGAAAAUGACGUUACCUGACCAAGAAGCCCCGGAUAAAUCCGUGCCAGCAGCCGCGGUAAUACGUAGGGGGAAAGCGUGAUCCGGAUUUACGGGGGGUAAAGGGGGCGUAGACGGCGAGGCAAGGCUGGAGUGAAAGCCCGGGGCCCAACCACGGGACUGCGUUGGAAACUGGGUAGCUGGAGUGCAGGAGGGGUACGCGGAAUUCCUGGUGUAGCGGUGAAAUGCGUAGAUAUUAGGAGGAACACCGGUGGCGAAGGCGGCUUACUGGACUGUAACUGACGGUGAGGCCCGAAGGCGUGGGGAGCAAACAGGAUUAGAUACCCGUGUAGUC